UGGGGAAUUUUGGGCAAUGGGGGAAACCCUGACCCAGCAACGCCGCGUGAAGGAUGAAGUAUUUCGGUAUGUAAACUUCGAAAGAAUAGGAAGAAUAAAUGACGGUACUAUUUAUAAGGUCCGGCUAACUACGUGCCAGCAGCCGCGGUAAUACGUAGGGACCAAGCGUUGUUCGGAUUUACUGGGCGUAAAGGGCGCGUAGGCGGCAUGACAAGUCACUUGUGAAAUCUCUGGGCUUAACCCAGAACGGCCAAGUGAUACUGUCGCGCUAGAGUGCAGAAGGGGCAAUCGGAAUUCUUGGUGUAGCGGUGAAAUGCGUAGAUAUCAAGAGGAACACCUGAGGUGAAGACGGGUUGCUGGGCUGACACUGACGCUGAGGCGCGAAAGCCAGGGGAGCAAACGGGAUUAGAUACCCGGGUAGUCCCUGAGCGGGCUGGCAAGGCGCAU
This 447-nucleotide ribosomal RNA is filed under the name uncultured bacterium. Its description in RNAcentral is "bacterial SSU rRNA". It matches the Rfam family "Bacterial small subunit ribosomal RNA", at positions 355 to 825 of the family's 1533-position model. The record is from RNAcentral.